RNAcentral lists this long non-coding RNA (2111 nucleotides) under Sus scrofa (pig). Its description in RNAcentral is "lncRNA (ENSSSCG00015052052.1)". The record is from RNAcentral. Lineage: Eukaryota; Metazoa; Chordata; Mammalia; Artiodactyla; Suidae.
ACGAGUUCAUAGACCUGAUUUAGCGGUUGAGUGACAGCUGCCAUUUGAACCCUGACCUUCUGACUCAUAUCCUGACCACCAGGCUGUCCCAUAGCACAAGGAAGGACUGCUUUACUUAGCAUAGGCUGACUAGCCAAGAGCCGUCUCAGCACAGAGCAGGUGCUAGGGGCAGGUAUUCAAAAUGGCCAAUAUCUGGAGUCGUCAUGGCUCAGCGGAAACAAACCUGACUAGUAUCCAUGAGGAUGCAGUUUUGAUCCCUGGCCCCGCUCAGUGGGUUAAAGAUCUAGCAUUGCCAUGAGCUGUGGUGUAGGUUGCAGACGCAGCUUGGAUCCCUUGUUGCUGUGGCUCUGGCGUAGGCCGAUUUGACCCCUCGCCUGGGAAUUUCCAUAUGCCACAGGUUCAGCCUUUAAAAAAAAAAAAAAAAAAGGCCAAUAUCUGCUUGGGAUAAGGUAGAGUUUCCCAGCUGGGGAGCUAACCAGCAGUGGGACAUGCUGCCUUAAGGGGUCCAGAGGCCAGUGGGGUCAUCCUGUGUAACCAGAAAAGAACUAAGGUGGUUCUUCCCGACUCCUCCACCCUGUGACUUUGCCUUCCUUAAGCAGGGUGUUUGCAUUCUGACUGGACUUUUCCUCUGGGACCCCCCUCCAAGUCCUGUCACCGUUGCACAGAUGCCCCACAGCAUGUGUUCCUCCUUUCUCCAGGUCAGCCCCUCGGCUGGCACCUUGCCCUGGUGUCCACACACCUGAAGGCAAGAGGCUCGUGGUGAAGUGAAUGCCUGGACAUUGGAGGCUAGGAACCUGGAUUCUAGCCCAUGUGUGGCCACUGAUGUCCUAGGGACUUCAGGAAAGGAGAGAAAUUUUACCAAAGGCCUGCAGCACUCCAGCACUCACAGAGAAAUUCCCAGGCCAGGGCCUCAAACCCUUCCCACAGCAGUGACAACGCUGCAUCCUUAACCUGCUGAGCCACCAGGGAACUCCAUCAUGAGUCUUUUAAUCUUGCCAACAUCACUGCUGGGAGGUAUUGGCUUGUUCCCCCGUUUUGCAGUUUCAGAAAUUAAGUCCCUUGCCUAAGAACUCAGGGCAGAUAAGUAGGCAAGUCCACAUUCUGACACAAGCCUGUCUGAUUCUCCAUUGCCCCCCCCCCCACCUCUAAAAUCACUUCCCUUUUCUAAGCCAGUGCCUCCCACCCCUGACCACGCUUGUCUCCACCCACACUGAGCCCCGCACUGUUCUGGAACAUAGCUGUGAGCAAGGUCCCUGCUCUCGUGGAGCAGACAAGUCAGUGGGGAGCCAGGUAAUAAGUAGAGAUUUGGCACAUUGAAAAGUGACCAGAAAAAUAAGGCAGUAAAGGAGGGGCAUGGUGGGGGGUUGGUACUUGCUGUACAAUGUCAGGUAGAGGGGAGGGCCUCACUCCGAAGAUGGCAAACGAGCUGAUGUGAGGCAGUGAGCCAUAGGGGCAUCUGAGGAAAGAAUUCCAAGUUGAGGGAGCAACCAAGGCAAAGAUCCAGAGGUGGAAAUGUGCCUAGCAUUCCAGAGAAACAGCAGAGCCUCCUUGUGGUUCAGAGAGAGUAAAGAGACAAGGGCACAGAGGGAAUGAGCAGGCCCUUGAGUCACUGUGAGGACUCUGGCUUUUGCUCUGUGCAGGAGGAGCCAGGAGAGGCUUCUGAGCCAGGAGGGAUGGGAUCCACCUCAGGUGUCCACAGGGCUUCUCUGUGGGGAAGAGACUAAAAAGGGGAGCGGGUAGGGCAGGGACCCCGAUCAGGAGCCUCGACCUUCAUGUAGGCUGAGAGGAGGGUAGCCGGAACCAGGCGGGGGCAGCAGAGUGGAAAGGAGUAUUCUGGAUAUAUUCUGAAAGUAGAACCAACAGAAUUUGUUGACAGUUCACACACUGGGUGAGAGAGAAAGCGGGCAACAGGAAGGGGUUUGCUAUUUGAGAUGCGGAAGACUGGUAGAGCAAGUUUGGAGGGGGAGUGAGGAGGUAGGUUUAAGACAUGUUAAAUUUAAGAUGCUUAUUAGAUGUUCUAAGUGAUGACACCCCAUGGUUGAAUACACACAGAGCACAGCAAAUAAUACAAAUAUAUUAAUAGAAAUAAAUUACACAUAAUAUUAUAAUAU